UGACCUCAAAUCAGGUAGGACUACCCGCUGAACUUAAGCAUAUCAAUAAGCGGAGGAAAAGAAACUAACAAGGAUUCCCCUAGUAACUGCGAGUGAAGCGGGAAAAGCUCAAAUUUAAAAUCUGGCAGUCUUUGGCUGUCCGAGUUGUAAUCUAGAGAAGUAUUAUCCGCGCUGGACCGUGUACAAGUCUCCUGGAAUGGAGCGUCAUAGAGGGUGAGAAUCCCGUCUUUGACACGGACUGCCAGGGCUUUGUGAUAUGCUCUCGAAGAGUCGAGUUGUUUGGGAAUGCAGCUCAAAAUGGGUGGUAAAUUCCAUCUAAAGCUAAAUAUUGGCGAGAGACCGAUAGCGAACAAGUACCGUGAGGGAAAGAUGAAAAGAACUUUGGAAAGAGAGUUAAACAGUACGUGAAAUUGCUGAAAGGGAAACGCUUGAAGUCAGUCGCGUUGGCCAGGGAUCAACCUUGCUUUUUUGCUUGGCUUACUUUCUGGUUGAUGGGUCAGCAUCAAUUUUGACUGGUGGAAAAAGUUCAAAGGAAUGUGGCAUCUUCGGAUGUGUUAUAGCCUUUGUUCACAUACAUUGGUUGGGAUUGAGGAACUCAGCACGCCGCAAGGCCGGGUUUUUAACCACGUACGUGCUUAGGAUGCUGGCAUAAUGGCUUUAAUCGACCCGUCUUGAAACACGGACCAAGGAGUCUAACAUGCCUGCGAGUAUUUGGGUGAAAAACCCGAGNUGCGUAAUGAAAGUGAAAGUUGAGAUCCCUGUCGUGGGGAGCAUUGACGCCCGGAUCUGACCUUUUGUGACGAUUCUGCGGUAGAGCAUGUAUGUGGACCCGAAAGAUGGUGAACU
RNAcentral lists this non-coding RNA (846 nucleotides) under Laccaria bicolor S238N-H82. RNAcentral describes it as "Eukaryotic large subunit ribosomal RNA". It matches the Rfam family "Eukaryotic large subunit ribosomal RNA", at positions 1 to 832 of the family's 3401-position model. Lineage: Eukaryota; Fungi; Basidiomycota; Agaricomycetes; Agaricales; Hydnangiaceae. The record is from Rfam by way of RNAcentral.